RNAcentral lists this non-coding RNA (24 nucleotides) under Mus musculus (house mouse). Lineage: Eukaryota; Metazoa; Chordata; Mammalia; Rodentia; Muridae. The record is from RNAcentral.
UGCAGGCCUGGAGGGAGACAUCAA